This 23-nucleotide small nuclear RNA is filed under the name Arabidopsis thaliana (thale cress). RNAcentral's name for it is "snRNA_05954". The record is from RNAcentral. Lineage: Eukaryota; Viridiplantae; Streptophyta; Magnoliopsida; Brassicales; Brassicaceae.
AACCGGAAGCCGGGUUACGGUGC